Ipomoea triloba (trilobed morning glory) is the source of this 171-nucleotide long non-coding RNA. RefSeq lists it as uncharacterized. The record is from RefSeq and is a predicted model, not a curated record. Lineage: Eukaryota; Viridiplantae; Streptophyta; Magnoliopsida; Solanales; Convolvulaceae. The transcript is spliced from 2 exons.
AUUUCUCAUCUAUAAAAAGCAACCAAAUGCCAAAUAAACCUCGGCGAAAAUUACCCCACUAAACAUCGCUAACUUGUUGCAUUGUCAAAGGCAGUGAGGCAAAAAAGAAACAAUGACUGAAGACAGGGAGGGAAAUACGCAUCUACGAGAAUUAAUAAUCUGUUUCGAAAA